RNAcentral lists this ribosomal RNA (497 nucleotides) under uncultured bacterium. Its description in RNAcentral is "partial 16S ribosomal RNA". It matches the Rfam family "Bacterial small subunit ribosomal RNA", at positions 28 to 507 of the family's 1533-position model. The record is from RNAcentral.
GAUGAACGCUGGCGGCGUGCCUAAUACAUGCAAGUCGAGCGAACAGACGAGGAGCUUGCUCCUCUGACGUUAGCGGCGGACGGGUGAGUAACACGUGGAUAACCUACCUAUAAGACUGGGAUAACUUCGGGAAACCGGAGCUAAUACCGGAUAAUAUAUUGAACCGCAUGGUUCAAUAGUGAAAGACGGUUUUGCUGUCACUUAUAGAUGGAUCCGCGCCGCAUUAGCUAGUUGGUAAGGUAGCGGCUUACCAAGGCGACGAUGCGUAGCCGACCGGAGGGGGUGAUCGGCCACACUGGAACUGAGACACGGUCAAGACUACUACGGGAGGCAGCAGUAGGGAAUCUUCCGCAAUGGGCGAAAGCCUGACGGAGCAACGCCGCGUGAGUGAUGAAGGUCUUCGGAUCGUAAAACUCUGUUAUUAGGGAAGAACAAAUGUGUAAGUAACUAUGCACGUCUUGACGGUACCUAAUCAGAAAGCCACGGCUAACUACGUG